CCUACGGGAGGCUGCAGUGAGGAAUAUUGGUCAAUGGACGAGAGUCUGAACCAGCCAAGUCGCGUGAAGGAUGACUGCCCUAUGGGUUGUAAACUUCUUUUAUCUGGGAAUAAAAUGUUCCACGUGUGGGAUUUUGUAUGUACCAUAUGAAUAAGGAUCGGCUAACUCCGUGCCAGCAGCCGCGGUAAUACGGAGGAUCCGAGCGUUAUCCGGAUUUAUUGGGUUUAAAGGGAGCGUAGGUGGAUUGUUAAGUCAGUUGUGAAAGUUUGCGGCUCAACCGUAAAAUUGCAGUUGAAACUGGAAGUCUUGAGUACAGAAGAGGUGGGCGGAAUUCGUGGUGUAGCGGUGAAAUGCUUAGAUAUCAUGAAGAACUCCGAUGGCGAAGGCAGGUCACUGGACUGCAACUGACACUGAGGCUCGAAAGUGUGGGUAUCAAACAGGAUUAGAUACCCGAGUAGUC
This 460-nucleotide ribosomal RNA is filed under the name uncultured bacterium. RNAcentral's name for it is "partial 16S ribosomal RNA". It matches the Rfam family "Bacterial small subunit ribosomal RNA", at positions 338 to 795 of the family's 1533-position model. The record is from RNAcentral.